GUAAAUAUAAUUUAUAUAAAAUAUUAGACUGUGAAUCUAAAAAUAGGGUGUGCUCAACCCUUAUUUACC
RNAcentral lists this transfer RNA (69 nucleotides) under Meriones tamariscinus (Tamarisk jird). RNAcentral describes it as "tRNA-His". It matches the Rfam family "tRNA". From Rfam's summary of the family: Transfer RNA (tRNA) molecules are approximately 80 nucleotides in length. Their secondary structure includes four short double-helical elements and three loops (D, anti-codon, and T loops). The record is from RNAcentral. Lineage: Eukaryota; Metazoa; Chordata; Mammalia; Rodentia; Muridae.